UUAAUGGAAAAAAUAAAUAAAUUUAAAACCAAAUCGUUAAUGGUGGCACAAACAUUAAAAGAAAAGAAAAAAUAACCUGCCGCAAACUUUCAUAACCCUAAACAAUAUUCUUUCCCCAUUUUUAUUCCUCUCCACCAGCCGUGUUGUAUGCAGAGAAAGGGCUGCUGGGAUCAUUACAGGAUACAACAUAACCACCGCAAAGCCAAUUGCAAAGCCAAUAUUUAGGGAGAGUCUAGAGUUAAUUUGGAUGAAUUAGGAAAACCUAUUCAGGUAUUUACUCUCUUCUGGAUGUUGGUGGUUCGAUAUGGACUUACUACAUAAUAUCCACAUAAUAGCCUCUCACAUUUGGUGAAGUUGUUGUGUUAUUGGCAAUGGUAUUAAUGACGCUCCAGUGCUUACAUAAUGAUGGAGGACAUGGUACUGCCUUACAUAAUGUUGUGGCUCGAGGUUCAGGAUUUCGAGCGGAAUAUGUUGAACCUAUCUUCCAUAAAAAAUGGAGAAGUUCAGCCAAUGCGAGCUAAAAUGAUGAGCAGAGCAUGUUGUUCUAAAAUGUGAAUGAUGAUGUACUUCUUUAACCGUCCUAAACGCGAUGUAGGAUAAGAUCUUAAGAAUGAUAUGUAGUUUAAUCAUCUUAAACACAUAUUGUGGAUAUACACCUCCAUAUCCAACGGAUUGGUGUAGAUAUAUACAUGGAUCUACAUGUACUCUACUCGAUGCCGUAUCAAUUUGUACAUGUUUAGAUUAGCUUCUUCAAUGGAGCUUCUUCAACGGAGUUGGAAUGAUGAGCAGCCUCAAGGCUAAUGCAAAAGCUGAAUUCAGUCACAUUUGGGUUGUAUAUUUGGACUAUAUGACUGACCAAUUUAGUGAUAUUUAGACUUGAAAUACUUUUAUUUUUUUGAUUAUAUAAGUUGUAUAUGCAUACAAAAGCAAAACAAAAAUAAAAAACAAAACAAAAGCAAUAUGAUAUGA
Long non-coding RNA from Papaver somniferum (opium poppy), 969 nucleotides. RefSeq lists it as uncharacterized. Lineage: Eukaryota; Viridiplantae; Streptophyta; Magnoliopsida; Ranunculales; Papaveraceae. The transcript is spliced from 3 exons. The record is from RefSeq and is a predicted model, not a curated record.